This 254-nucleotide ribosomal RNA is filed under the name uncultured bacterium. Its description in RNAcentral is "partial 16S ribosomal RNA". It matches the Rfam family "Bacterial small subunit ribosomal RNA", at positions 524 to 776 of the family's 1533-position model. The record is from RNAcentral.
UACGAAGGGUGCAAGCGUUACUCGGAAUUACUGGGCGUAAAGCGUGCGUAGGUGGUGAGUUAAGUCUGUCGUGAAAGCCCCGGGCUCAACCUGGGAAUGGCGAUGGAUACUGGCUCGCUAGAGUGCGGUAGAGGAGAGUGGGAAUUCCCGGUGUAGCAGUGAAAUGCGUAGAGAUCGGGAGGAACAUCAGUUGCGAAGGCGGCUCUCUGGACCAGCACUGACACUGAGGCACGAAAGCGUGGGGAGCAAACAGG